RNAcentral lists this long non-coding RNA (423 nucleotides) under Coffea arabica (coffee). RNAcentral describes it as "long non-coding RNA (CARA_LNC003323)". Lineage: Eukaryota; Viridiplantae; Streptophyta; Magnoliopsida; Gentianales; Rubiaceae. The record is from RNAcentral.
UAAAUAAAUUGUCAAGCAGAGAAUUUUUUUUCCCUUGUGUUUCUUUCUGGGUAUGAAGCUGCAAGUUUUGGAUUGAGCGAUAGAGAAGGUGUCUUUCUUGGAUUUUCGUUUCCAUUUGAUAGAAAUUUUGGUUUUUGAUCCAAAAAGAGAAGUGGGUUUUUCUGGGUUUUCAAUCUUUUGAGGUUAUAAGCUUGGAAAUUUUGUUUUGGAGGUAUCAGAAAUGGCUUGUUGUUUGAAGACCGGUUUCUAUGUUUCUGGUUCAAGUGAUACCCUUCUCGGCUGUAGAGCCAAAGGGUCUUUAGGGGUUUCUCCGUCCGUUGAGGCUCUCCAAUUAUCAAAUUCAAGAUCAAAAGAUUUCAUGGGGAAACAAUUGGAUUAUUCAGUCCAAAAUUCAACCUAUUGGGAUGUCAAAGCUCCAACUAC